RNAcentral lists this ribosomal RNA (506 nucleotides) under uncultured bacterium. RNAcentral describes it as "partial 16S ribosomal RNA". It matches the Rfam family "Bacterial small subunit ribosomal RNA", at positions 30 to 523 of the family's 1533-position model. The record is from RNAcentral.
AUUGAACGCUGGCGGCAGGCCUAACACAUGCAAGUCGAACGGUAACAGGAAACAGCUUGCUGUUUCGCUGACGAGUGGCGGACGGGUGAGUAAUGUCUGGGAAACUGCCUGAUGGAGGGGGAUAACUACUGGAAACGGUAGCUAAUACCGCAUAACGUCGCAAGACCAAAGAGGGGGACCUUCGGGCCUCUUGCCAUCGGAUGUGCCCAGAUGGGAUUAGCUAGUAGGUGGGGUAACGGCUCACCUAGGCGACGAUCCCUAGCUGGUCUGAGGGGAUGACCAGCCACACUGGAACUGAGACACGGUCCAGACCCCUACGGGAGGCAGCAGUGGGGAAUAUUGCACAAUGGGCGCAAGCCUGAUGCAGCCAUGUCGCGUGUAUGAAGAAGGCCUUCGGGUUGUAAAGUACUUUCAGCGGGGAGGAAGGGAGUAAAGUUAAUACCUUUGCUCAUUGACGUUACCCGCAGAAGAAGCACCGGCUAACUCCGUGCCAGCAGCCGCCGUAA